This 90-nucleotide transfer RNA is filed under the name Betaproteobacteria bacterium. Its description in RNAcentral is "tRNA-Ser". It matches the Rfam family "tRNA". From Rfam's summary of the family: Transfer RNA (tRNA) molecules are approximately 80 nucleotides in length. Their secondary structure includes four short double-helical elements and three loops (D, anti-codon, and T loops). RNAcentral also lists the same sequence under 1 other name. Lineage: Bacteria; Pseudomonadati; Pseudomonadota; Betaproteobacteria. The record is from RNAcentral.
GGAUGGGUGGCGGAGCGGUUCAACGCACCGGUCUUGAAAACCGGCAAGGGCGCAAGUCCUUCGUGGGUUCGAAUCCCACCCCAUCCGCCA